Molecule: ribosomal RNA, 253 nt
Filed under: uncultured bacterium
Lineage: Bacteria
Description: partial 16S ribosomal RNA
Rfam family: Bacterial small subunit ribosomal RNA
Source: RNAcentral
UACGUAGGGGGCAAGCGUUGUCCGGAAUCAUUGGGCGUAAAGAGCGUGUAGGCGGUUCGGUAAGUCGGCUGUGAAAGUCCAGGGCUCAACCCUGGGAUGCCGGUCGAUACUGCCGGACUAGAGUUCGGAAGAGGCGAGUGGAAUUCCCGGUGUAGCGGUGAAAUGCGCAGAUAUCGGUAGGAACACCUAUGGCGAAGGCAGCUCGCUGGGACGUUACUGACGCUGAGACGCGAAAGCGUGGGGAGCAAACAGG